GCCGGGCAUGGUGGUGGGUGCCUGUAAUCCCAGCUACUUGGAGGCUGAGGCAGGGGGAAUUGCUUGAACCUGGGAGACGGAGGGUGCAGUGAGCCGAGAUCAUGCCACUGCACCCCAGCCUGGGUAACAGAGCGAGACUCCAUCUCAA
Molecule: non-coding RNA, 148 nt
Organism: Pan troglodytes (chimpanzee)
Lineage: Eukaryota; Metazoa; Chordata; Mammalia; Primates; Hominidae
Rfam family: Metazoan signal recognition particle RNA
About the family: The signal recognition particle (SRP) is a universally conserved ribonucleoprotein. It is involved in the co-translational targeting of proteins to membranes.
Source: Rfam